UGGAACUGAAGAUUUUUUAUGGAACUCAGGACGGUUAACACCUUCUGACGUUUGUUGAUUGAAACUAAAGCUACCCGAUAUAGACUUUUUAUUCUCCCCCUCUCCCUUUCUUUAGUCUUCUACUCGUUAAUCAAGUGAACAUGAACCAUCAACUUGGAAAAGUCUCUCUCCUUAAUUAGCAUUGUGGUCCUAUACUUCCUGACUACACUAUCAGACACACCAAACAUAUACUUGGUCAUCAUAGACCUUCUAUCAGCUACCAUAUGAGGAGGAUACCUAGCUAACUGAGUAACCUUGAGGGAAUACUCCUUCAUACUCAUGUUGCCUUUCCUCAAGUUAAUAAACUAUAACACCUUGUCUUCCCUUAGAUCUAAUAGAAAGAAUCUAUCUAAGGUUAUAGCAAACUUUUCCUAUUCUAUAGGCCCUGUAUCUGCGCCUCUAGCAACCUUCCUCUAC
Molecule: long non-coding RNA, 456 nt
Filed under: Capsicum annuum
Lineage: Eukaryota; Viridiplantae; Streptophyta; Magnoliopsida; Solanales; Solanaceae
Description: long non-coding RNA (CANN_LNC016283)
Source: RNAcentral